UCUCAUUGAACUUCAGGGUUCAUCCUCUCUCUAUCGCGACGUCUGAUCUUCAUUUCAUCACCUAAGCGGUUCCUGUUACAGGUUUUUUUUAUUGAAUCCCUUAUUAAUUCAAUCAACCAUGAUGUAUCAUUGAAAGCGAGAUUUUCUUCAGCUAGGCGGUGUAUCGGAGAAUAAAAAGGCAACACCCAUUCCAGCCACUAUCAAUGUUCAUUGUCUUCCCAUUUACAUGUGACUCUUGAAGACAGGAUUCGAAAUUGGAUAUUGCCAUUGCUCCUUAUGAGACAUACGAAGAUGAGAUUUUUGCUUUCAUGGUAAGAAUUCCCAUAAAUUUUCCAUUUGCAGUGUUCUACUUAUGCUUAUACUUAUGCUCUCUAGAAAGAGAGAAACAUUUUUUAUAGUAAUAGAUUGCUGGUUUCAUUCAUUGGUAUUUCGAGAUGAUAAAGCCACAAAGCCAGAGCUGAUCUAACACUCUUUGGUGACAAGUACAAAAAAUUUCUGGCUCCGCCACUGCGCCUGACAGUGUAUACAAAUCAAAAGACCGGAUCGUUCGAGAGCAGAAGCGAGGUGACGAAAUUGGAGUUACGAAAAAUUGAAGAUAAGUAGCUGUGUACAUGCCAUCCAUCUUACUCCAUCGUUGAUUUAGAAAUAGCUUCUUGAAUGAAAGAAGAGAAGAAGUCGUUGUUGGUCUUCGACGUAGAAAAUGAGAAGAGAGAUUGGGCCUAAGGUGAAUGUUAAUAUAGGCCCACCUCUAAUCCAGUAAAUGUUGUUAAGGACUUUCGUAUUUCCCAAUGCUACAAGUACCUACACCCAACAAUUAAAGAAAAUAGCAUUACACAAAAACUUUAUGUUGUUAGGAAUACGUGACGCAGUUUUGCUUUGGUCUUUU
Molecule: long non-coding RNA, 886 nt
Organism: Brassica oleracea var. oleracea
Lineage: Eukaryota; Viridiplantae; Streptophyta; Magnoliopsida; Brassicales; Brassicaceae
Exons: 4
Source: RefSeq, a predicted model, not a curated record